UCCAGGGAGUAAUGACAACACUUGGAGCUCCCUUAGUAUUCAUGAAUUGAUACAUAAAUGAAACAGAAGGUGUUCGGGUAGCACCAGGCCAUUCUCCAUUUGUUGUCCGGCCGGUGGAGUCAAGCGAAGUUCAGAUGUGGGAGCCCAGCUUCCAAGGUGUAGCAGACUGGAAGACAACCGCUGCUGUUUAACUUGUGUAUUUCAGGCUGUGCAAUUGUGUCUUUCGGAGAGUUCUUAAAUGUUGAUUUCGGGGAAGUUCUAUUUGUACAUAUCUGCAGUCCAUUUUUUGGCACAAAAUAGUUUCGCCGCUUUAUUUUUGUAUGUACAUGUUUAUCUUUCUUUUACAGCAUCAAGCGGUUCAACUAUUAACUUUGAGAAGUUUAA
Long non-coding RNA from Lolium rigidum, 384 nucleotides. RefSeq lists it as uncharacterized. The transcript is spliced from 3 exons. Lineage: Eukaryota; Viridiplantae; Streptophyta; Magnoliopsida; Poales; Poaceae. The record is from RefSeq and is a predicted model, not a curated record.